CAAAAAGAUAAUGUUAAGAAAGUAUCAGUUGUACCAGAAUACUUACACUGACCCCAGCGACCUGUUCUUGGGUUCAAAUAAUUUGGAUAAAGACCAUUUG
Molecule: non-coding RNA, 100 nt
Organism: Ceratotherium simum simum (southern white rhinoceros)
Lineage: Eukaryota; Metazoa; Chordata; Mammalia; Perissodactyla; Rhinocerotidae
Source: RefSeq, a predicted model, not a curated record